CCCUUAGAUGUCCUGGGCCGCACGCGCGCUACACUGAUGCAUUCAACGAGUUUCACCUUGGCCGAGAGGCCUGGGCAAUCUUUUAAACCUGCAUCGUGAUAGGGAUAGAUUAUUGCAAUUGUUAAUCUUGAACGAGGAAUUCCUAGUAAACGCAAAUCAUCAAUUUGCAUUGAUUACGUCCCUGCCCUUUGUACACACCGCCCGUCGCACCUACCGAUUGAAUGGUCCGGUGAAGCCUCGGGAUUGUGGCCAGUUCACUUUAUUGGGAGUCGGCUGUGAGAACUUGUCUAAACCUUAUCAUUUAGAGGAAGGUGAAGUCGUAACA
This 325-nucleotide ribosomal RNA is filed under the name uncultured eukaryote. RNAcentral's name for it is "partial 18S ribosomal RNA". It matches the Rfam family "Eukaryotic small subunit ribosomal RNA", at positions 1470 to 1796 of the family's 1831-position model. The record is from RNAcentral.